GGCGACCGGCGCACGGGUGAGUAACGCGUAUGCAACUUACCUAUCAGAGGGGGAUAACCCGGCGAAAGUCGGACUAAUACCGCAUGAAGCAGGGGCCCCGCAUGGGGAUAUUUGCUAAAGAUUCAUCGCUGAUAGAUAGGCAUGCGUUCCAUUAGGCAGUUGGCGGGGUAACGGCCCACCAAACCGACGAUGGAUAGGGGUUCUGAGAGGAAGGUCCCCCACAUUGGUACUGAGACACGGACCAAACUCCUACGGGAGGCAGCAGUGAGGAAUAUUGGUCAAUGGGCGUAAGCCUGAACCAGCCAAGUCGCGUGAGGGAUGAAGGUUCUAUGGAUCGUAAACCUCUUUUAUAAGGGAAUAAAGUGCGGGACGUGUCCCGUUUUGUAUGUACCUUAUGAAUAAGGAUCGGCUAACUCCGUGCCAGCAGCCGCGGUAAUACGGAGGAUCCGAGCGUUAUCCGGAUUUAUUGGGUUUAAAGGGUGCGUAGGCGGCCUUUUAAGUCAGCGGUGAAAGUCUGUGGCUCAACCAUAGAAUUGCCGUUGAAACUGGGGGGCUUGAGUAUGUUUGAGGCAGGCGGAAUGCGUGGUGUAGCGGUGAAAUGCUUAGAUAUCACGCAGAACCCCGAUUGCGAAGGCAGCCUGCCAAGCCAUGACUGACGCUGAUGCACGAAAGCGUGGGGAUCAAACAGGAUUAGAUACCCUGGUAGUCCACGCAGUAAACGAUGAUCACUAGCUGUUUGCGAUACACUGUAAGCGGCACAGCGAAAGCGUUAAGUGAUCCACCUGGGGAGUACGCCGGCAACGGUGAAACUCAAAGGAAUUGACGGGGGCCCGCACAAGCGGAGGAACAUGUGGUUUAAUUCGAUGAUACGCGAGGAACCUUACCCGGGUUUGAACGCAUU
This 901-nucleotide ribosomal RNA is filed under the name Bacteroides sp. 2_1_33B. Its description in RNAcentral is "bacterial SSU rRNA". It matches the Rfam family "Bacterial small subunit ribosomal RNA", at positions 90 to 991 of the family's 1533-position model. Lineage: Bacteria; Pseudomonadati; Bacteroidota; Bacteroidia; Bacteroidales; Bacteroidaceae. The record is from RNAcentral.